ACCUGCCGCCGCUCGCUCGACUCGAUUGAGCCGCGAACUGCGAUUGCUCGUGGACGUUAGCAGACGCGCGGCAAACGGCGCCGAGCAAGUUGCUUUUAUUCUCCCCGGCUGGGACACUGUGCUUUCGCGACGCGACGCGCCAGUCUAACCGUAAACGUGAAUCUUUUACGAGCGCGUCCUCGUCAUUGUCGUCGUUCUCCUCCUCAUCAUCGUAGUAGUAGCAGCGCGUUACUUCUUUCACUUCAGUGCUAAAUUGUGUGUCCCGCUCAGCUACGUGUGUCUCUUGUGCAACACGAACGACCUUGCCCUCAGCCAGCUGCCGGAACGAGGAGCACAUCCCAGGAACACAUCGUAAACACGCAAUCGGUGAAUCACCGCGCCGCAAAAUGGGCUGUGUCUCGCAGUGCGCCAAGUACUUCCUCUGCUUGUUCAACUUCGUAUUCUUCAUCGCCGGGGGAGCGGCGUUGACCGUCGGUAUCUGGCUCUUCGCCGACAGGAGUUCGUUCACCAACCUGAUCGGCAAACUCGAUCAGUCCGACAUCUUGAAUAAAACGGAUGCCGAUGUCAUCAAAGUGAUUGCCUACAUUCUUAUCAUAGCCGGCGCCCUCACGUUCAUCAUCAGCUUCCUCGGUUAUUGCGGUGCCAUGUUCGAGUCUAGAUGUCUUCUCUGUGUCUAUGUCAUUCUAAUCGCACUGGUUUUACUCCUGGAGUGUAUCGCAAUUGGACUGGCUUGUGGAUACAAAGAUACCGAGAGAAAUACGCAGAAAUUCUGGAAGUCAACCAUAAAGUACUACGCGACCAGCGCCGAUAAAGCCGAAACCGUGACAGUCGCAUGGGACGGUAUCAUGAACCAGUUCCAUUGUUGCGGCGUGGACAAUUAUCGAGACUUCGGCGAAAAUACGAACUUCACCGCGACCGGAAAAAUGGUUCCCGAGGCCUGUUGCAUAAAAGAGAACGACGUUCUGAAGGACCCUUCCUGUCCAAUCAGUCCCACUGCCUCAAACUCGUAUUACGAAACGGGUUGCUUCGAGGCCAUAAUAACCGCCAUACAGGAGAACAAGGCGAUAGUGAUCAGCGUGGCUGCUACUCUGCCUUUAAUCGAGUCUCUAAUCAUUAUUCUGGCGCUGUACCUAAUCUUCUUCCACUGGCGUCCGCAACAUGUUUAUCGAUGCGUAGAACCUUCUGGCAAGGAGUAACCUCGAGAGCAGAAUGUGCUAAGCUUUCUGCCAUGAAAAGAACGCAGUUCUUUUUCCUUUAAGGACUUCGCGAAUACCUCGACUGUGUUUCUUGUGUAGACGUAUCGUCGAGACAGGCCUGGUGAGGUGCCGAAGUAAGGAUGAUGAUGAUUUUGAUGGGGUUUGGUUUCAAGUAAGACGGAGGUGAAGCUGUCAGUUGACAGUUGACCUCACCUGCCUCGCUGCCCCGGCAGUGUCUAGAUAUCUGUUACCCACCUUCGAAAGUGGCUGUUCUACAAGCGUUUUUUUUUCUUUUUUUUCUUUCGUGGAUUCUGUUGAGGCAUGGUAGCUUUGCUCUCUACUCUUGCAUGGCCAUGCUGUUGUAUAUAAUUUCGACUGAGGGACACAGAUACGGAAGGUGAGGGAGAGAGAAAGGCCCGAUUGCAUCGAUUUUACACGCAGUGCAGGCUGUAACAGGUGCGGAUUGCUUAUUGUUGACGGCUUGCCGGGAAACGAAAGCACAUGUCAUGUGGAGUGACAUUUCGGGGAGCAAAUGACGCAAACUCGCAGAUUACGAAAAUGAUAAGUGUGCUUACGCAUUAACCAGUAUGGCUAUUAAUGAAGUUGCAAUUAUUAUGUUUCAGCGUCUGUAGUAUAUUAUCUCGACGACGGAUCGCUAUCGUAGGUAGAAAAAGAAAAGGAGAGAGAUAUUAAUCAAAGCUAAAAGGAAUCUUUGCGCUCAUAAUAAUACAUAUACAUAGAUACACAGCGUAUAAAGAUUUCAUUUCUUUUCUUCUCAUUCCUUUUAACACACGCUUUACGAUUCUCUGACUGUGGAGCCAAAUGAAAUCCUGAGCGGAUGUUGUAAUCGAUGCAUUUUUGCAAAAAGAAAAAGCCAACUGUGCAAUUGGGCCUAUCGCCGUCGUCUUUUUUUUUGCGUUUUAUAUUUAAGCAUUUCGCCGUAAAUUUUUAUUUCAAUAGGACUCACAUUCGCGUACUCGACGACUACCGACGACACAAGUUAUCAAACGCACGUGGCUAAAUCAUUUCUGCUCGAUGUUGCCAUAUGCGAUGACAAUAUCGACAAUUCCUUUUCUUUUUCUUUUCUUUCUCUCUUUUGGUUUUUCCCCCCUUUUCCACUAGUUAGAGUAGUUUAGUCAGCAAUUUCUAUUGUCUCGAUGUUGCAAACACACUAUAUGGUAUCUAACAAAUAAAUCACAAGACGAAGAAUCUCAUUCGCGUUUACACGUAAAAGAACAUAAAACGUAUUACUGUGUAAAAUGAAAGAUGACGUAUAAUUUCGAAGAGAAAUUUAUGUCUCGAAACUCAUAAUGUGUAUUAGUGUACCUUGAAUGUUUAACAAAACUGUAUACGCUAUCUCUGUACGUAUGCGCACCAAGCACACGCAGGGGGUAAAAGUAGAGGACUCUAAGACUGAAGAUUCAAGAGAUGAACUUGAAAGCGCGUUAUAACGAGUUUACUACGCGGACUACUACGGAGGAAUCAAAAGUGUCAUUCCCGGAAUAUUGUUUCCAAAGCAUCACAGCGAAGAAUUCACCUUGCACGAAUUCGAGGACUCGCCCGAAUUCGAGUGACUAGGUGGCGAUCGCACCUAUUCUUCAAGUAAAAUUUCACUCCGAGAAAUUUAGAGAGUGACACAUUAUAUUAUACCUGACUUAUUACCGUGUGUACAUUAUAUUUACUACUGUAAUUAUACCGUAUAUAUUAUACCUGAGUAGAAUAUAUUUUUGUAGUUUCGCGACGUAUCGAUUGUGCGCGAUACGUUAUGAGCGAACGUGCAAGCUUCCGUUUUUUGCUUAUUUCGGCGACGGCGACGGUUGGAAGACGGGUGGAAAGGGAGGGUAAAGAAAUGCUCGCAGAUAAAUUGAGGAGGGAGGGGGGACGCAUAUUCUCGAUAAUACGAUUACUUACGCUUUGUUUUCAGUACCUGAAAUUUUCGUAGAUUUAACGACGACAGAUCGCGCGACAACUCUCUCUUCUUCAGAGACUGUUGCCAUUGUUGUAAUCCGUGGAUCGCAUGGUUGUGCGUUGAAUUGUGUGUGGUAUUGACUCGACGCGAAGGCUACUAUACGAACUACUAUAGUUCAUGUUUUGUGCCGGCGUGCGCGUACGUACAACGCAAUUGAUGAUAAACGUAAAAGAUAAGAAGAAAAACACGAAAGAGGAAAAAAAAGCAAUUGGACGCGGUAGUUUUACAAUGCUCUUUUACACAUACAUAGCUACUAAUUGUUCAUGCCACACAUUCUAGACAUUUUCGUUUCCAGUGUUAACUUGUUGGUGCUGCUGUUGACGAGGCAUUAAGAGCAUGGAACUGUUGAGUAGUGCCUCCUCCUAGCACGUUGAGCCCUUUGUGCUCCUGUGCCUUGCUUGCUUGAAACUCUAGCCGCUAGCCCAGCCUAGGCUAGCUGAGAAGUCGGCCAACAGAUACAAAAUCCUGACGCUUGUACAACGAAACGUUUCGGGAGAUACGCUCUGGCAGUGACGUAGAAGAUAUUUUCUAGGCGACACUUAUAUAUAUAUAUAUAUAUAUAUAUAUAUAUAUAUGUGUGUGUAUGUGUGUGUGUGUAUGUGUGUGUGUGUACAUAUACACACACACGUACACAUCCUGUGCUUUUCUUAAAGAGAAGCCGAUUCUAUACGCACCGCAGCGAAAAUACAAAAAGAGGGAACAAGUACAAAAUUAUUUUAAUACAACUUUCGCUAUAGAGAGAAAGGUCCGUCUUUGAAAAAGAAAGAGAUAGAAAAAGAAUAAUGACGAGAGAGAACACAUAUCCUAAGUUAUAUAUUUUGAAAUAUUGUGACUUGUGAAGUAUGUGCUCUAGCCGCACUUGUAUAUAAUUGUAAGAAAAGUAACUAUUGAAUUAUAGCAGAUACGAAAUAUCCCUACGUCACUGUUGAUUGAUAACGUUUCGUAGUUUCUGCUAAGUGUUUAUAUAUUGCGGAGGUACAAGCGUUUAAAAUAACCAGCCAGUAGAUAUAUCGUAUCUUCGUAUUUACCGCGAGAGCGACAACCCGAUAACGAACGCUAUUAUGUAACUACCUUUUCCUUUCGUUCUCUGCGGUGUUUGUCGUCUACCGAUCAUCGUGAAAGAAUGUCGAUAAUGGAUAUAGCAGCUGUGUACAUACGCAUAAAUAUUUUAGAUGCUUGUAUCAUAUAAAAACUCGGAAUACUCACGCGCUUCGUCCAUUCAGAAUGGACAGUGGAAUAUAUAACGAGACACGUAAUCGUAACGAGAAACCGAUGUAUACUUUUUCUCAAUAUAUUUUCUGUAUAUUAUCCAUUCCUUCUUCUUUUUGUUUUCUAACAUUCUUAUUGCGUUCAACGAAAAAUUGUGUAAAAGCUUCUCACGUACAUAAUAGCUUUACACUCGAAAUAGCAGUCGGGAAGAGAGAGAGA
Molecule: RNA transcript, 4593 nt
Organism: Harpegnathos saltator (Jerdon's jumping ant)
Lineage: Eukaryota; Metazoa; Arthropoda; Insecta; Hymenoptera; Formicidae
Gene: Tsp66E
Gene name: Tetraspanin 66E
Exons: 10
Source: RefSeq, a predicted model, not a curated record